GCUUACGGCCAUACCACCCUGAGAACGCCCGAUCUCGGAAGCUAAGCAGGGUCGGGCCUGGUUAGUACUUGGAUGGGAGACCGCCUGGGAAUACCAGGUGCUGUAAGCA
Molecule: ribosomal RNA, 109 nt
Organism: Takifugu rubripes (torafugu)
Lineage: Eukaryota; Metazoa; Chordata; Actinopteri; Tetraodontiformes; Tetraodontidae
Source: Ensembl